This 2309-nucleotide long non-coding RNA is filed under the name Gossypium raimondii (Peruvian cotton). Its description in RNAcentral is "long non-coding RNA (GRAI_LNC009392)". The record is from RNAcentral. Lineage: Eukaryota; Viridiplantae; Streptophyta; Magnoliopsida; Malvales; Malvaceae.
GAUGAACGAAAUCAGCAAGGGGGAAGCCAUAGUUAGGGUUUUUAAGCUUCCAAGCUCAAUAGUAAGUGAUUCCAAGCCCCGUUUUUAAUGUUCUUUACGUUUUUGGAGUCCUGGUAGCUUAAUUUAGCUUAUUCUAGCAAUAAUUUAACCUAGGGUUUAUAUUUGGAAAAAUACCCAUAGGUGAAAAGUGUUUAUUUUGCUGUUUUAUGGUGGAAUAUGAAGCAAGAAAUUAUGUUAAACAACUUUUGCUAAGCGAUUUUAAAUGAAAACGGGUAAAUUGACAUAAUCGGUAAAAAUAGUAAAUGUUCAAAAGCAUGUAUUAGAGUGAGAAUUUGAUGUUUCCAUAGAAGGGAAAAGUGUUCAGCACGUUGUAAAACAUGAGAAUAAGAGAUGAAAUUUAAUUUCUGAGCUUAGGGACAAAAGUGUAAAUAUUCAAAAGUUUGGGGGCAAAAUUGUAAUUUUUCAAAAAUUUGGGUGGAGGACUAUUUUAUUAAAUUUGAACAUUAAAUGAGUUAAAUUUGCUAUUAUAGAUCAAGAAAGAUGAGAAGACUACCUCAAACGGGGAAAAGAGAAGAUAGUGGAGUAAAUUGCAAAAUUACGAUAUUUUGCACCAAGGUAAGUAAACAUGUGAAAUAAUGCAUAUUUUUUAUAUUAUUUGAUAUAUGUUGAGAUUUAUUUGAACAUAGAAUAAAUAUUUGGCAAAUAUUCUAAAAGUGUGGUUAAGUUGGGAAAGGUGGUAAAGUGUUGAAAAACACAGUUUCCGGUUGAACACUCGGAAUAGGCUGGAUUACAUUGAAUAUAAAGGGGGUUGCUAAGUGCUGAUUCCCCCAAGGGGUUGCUAAGUGUUGAUUCCCCGAUUCAUUGGUGGUUGCUAAGUGCUUAUUCCACCGUAUCUUAAAUGUGAAAGGGGUUGCUAAGUGCUGAUUCCCCGACUCAUUGGUGGUUGCUAAGUGCUGAUUCCACCGUAUCUUAAAUGUGAAGGGGGUUGCUAAGUGCUGAUUCCCCCGAGGGGUUCCUAAGUGCUGAUUCCCCGAAUCAUUGGUGGUUGCUAAGUGCUGAUCCCACCGUAUCUUAAAUGUGAAAGGGGUUGCUAAGUGCUGAUUCCCCAACUCAUUGGUAGUUGCUAAGUGCAGAAUCCACCGAUAAAGGAUAACAUUCCGAAUGUUCAACGAGGAAAUUGGAAAGGUGAAUAUUUAUAUAUGGUGGGCAAGUUUAUGGGAGAAAUAUUGGGUUUGAUACUUAAUCAACCCAUAUGUAAGAUGGGAGGAAAUAUCAAAAAUACAAAAGAACAAUUUAAAUACAAAACUAUUUUGAAUAAUAACAGAUGGGCAAAUUUGAAAAAUCACCAUAAAUGGUGGAAAAUGAAUUAGAGGUUGAAUAAUAUAUGAAAUUGAAGCUGGAUGAGUUUAUUUUCAUAUGAAAGAAAUAGAGCAAGCAAAAGAGUUGUAUGUUUGGGGAUAUUUGAAUUUUAUUGAGACAGGGUUGAAUUGAUUUAGAAAUCCCUUGUUCCAAAUUUGAAAAAUCACCAUAAAUUGUAAAAAAAUAAUUAUGGCCUGAAAUUUAUAUUUUUGGAUUCCUUAAUUAGUCUAUUUUUAAUAUAAACAAACGAGAACAUUGUUUGAAUUCUAUACAGCGAGUUAAGUAAAUUUUAGUAAGGAGAGGUCAGAACUGUUGAGUAGUAAAACAGGGGAAUCUUUAGAGAAUAAACUGUACUAAUUGGCCAAAUCAAAAAUUCUGAAAAUUUUAUGGUGGAAAUUUAUAUGAAUCUAGUUUCGGGAAAAAUUUACAGAACUUAAUUUGGAGCGAUGUAGCUCCAGAUAAAAAUAAAUUAGUGACCAUGACGCAGAAAAACAGCUUGCUGGAAAUUGAACAAACAAUGAAAUUUAUGUGUGAUUAAAAUUAUGUGAGGAAUUUAUUUAUUGGUCAUAUGUUUACUUACUAAGCUAUAUUCUUACUCAUUUUUAUUUUCCCUUGAUUAUAGUGACAUCAAUCAGCUCGGAACUUGGACGACGUCAGAUAAUCAUCCACACUAUCAUCAACUUUUUGGGUAUUUUGCAAUUAAUACUUUGGAAACAUGGCAUGUAUAGAUGACUUUAUGUAAUUUGGUAUAAAUAUGUUUAUAUUCGGUAUUGUUCGGUUUAAUAUGUUGGUGUUUAUUAAUGGAUAAAUUAUGUCUGAACAUAUAACUGUAAUUGGUUGGAAAUAUUGAAGUUGUUUGAAAUUGUCUUUGAAAAUUUGCAAGGGGUUUUAUGUAAAAAUAAGCAGAAAUGCUGCCGAAAUUUUUAUAAAAAAAAAAUAUAAGUGUUGAG